This 1453-nucleotide ribosomal RNA is filed under the name Enterococcus durans. RNAcentral's name for it is "bacterial SSU rRNA". It matches the Rfam family "Bacterial small subunit ribosomal RNA". The record is from RNAcentral. Lineage: Bacteria; Bacillati; Bacillota; Bacilli; Lactobacillales; Enterococcaceae.
AUGCAAGUCGUACGCUUCUUUUUCCACCGGAGCUUGCUCCACCGGAAAAAGAAGAGUGGCGAACGGGUGAGUAACACGUGGGUAACCUGCCCAUCAGAAGGGGAUAACACUUGGAAACAGGUGCUAAUACCGUAUAACAAUCGAAACCGCAUGGUUUUGAUUUGAAAGGCGCUUUCGGGUGUCGCUGAUGGAUGGACCCGCGGUGCAUUAGCUAGUUGGUGAGGUAACGGCUCACCAAGGCCACGAUGCAUAGCCGACCUGAGAGGGUGAUCGGCCACAUUGGGACUGAGACACGGCCCAAACUCCUACGGGAGGCAGCAGUAGGGAAUCUUCGGCAAUGGACGAAAGUCUGACCGAGCAACGCCGCGUGAGUGAAGAAGGUUUUCGGAUCGUAAAACUCUGUUGUUAGAGAAGAACAAGGAUGAGAGUAACUGUUCAUCCCUUGACGGUAUCUAACCAGAAAGCCACGGCUAACUACGUGCCAGCAGCCGCGGUAAUACGUAGGUGGCAAGCGUUGUCCGGAUUUAUUGGGCGUAAAGCGAGCGCAGGCGGUUUCUUAAGUCUGAUGUGAAAGCCCCCGGCUCAACCGGGGAGGGUCAUUGGAAACUGGGAGACUUGAGUGCAGAAGAGGAGAGUGGAAUUCCAUGUGUAGCGGUGAAAUGCGUAGAUAUAUGGAGGAACACCAGUGGCGAAGGCGGCUCUCUGGUCUGUAACUGACGCUGAGGCUCGAAAGCGUGGGGAGCAAACAGGAUUAGAUACCCUGGUAGUCCACGCCGUAAACGAUGAGUGCUAAGUGUUGGAGGGUUUCCGCCCUUCAGUGCUGCAGCUAACGCAUUAAGCACUCCGCCUGGGGAGUACGACCGCAAGGUUGAAACUCAAAGGAAUUGACGGGGGCCCGCACAAGCGGUGGAGCAUGUGGUUUAAUUCGAAGCAACGCGAAGAACCUUACCAGGUCUUGACAUCCUUUGACCACUCUAGAGAUAGAGCUUCCCCUUCGGGGGCAAAGUGACAGGUGGUGCAUGGUUGUCGUCAGCUCGUGUCGUGAGAUGUUGGGUUAAGUCCCGCAACGAGCGCAACCCUUAUUGUUAGUUGCCAUCAUUCAGUUGGGCACUCUAGCAAGACUGCCGGUGACAAACCGGAGGAAGGUGGGGAUGACGUCAAAUCAUCAUGCCCCUUAUGACCUGGGCUACACACGUGCUACAAUGGGAAGUACAACGAGUCGCGAAGUCGCGAGGCUAAGCUAAUCUCUUAAAGCUUCUCUCAGUUCGGAUUGUAGGCUGCAACUCGCCUACAUGAAGCCGGAAUCGCUAGUAAUCGCGGAUCAGCACGCCGCGGUGAAUACGUUCCCGGGCCUUGUACACACCGCCCGUCACACCACGAGAGUUUGUAACACCCGAAGUCGGUGAGGUAACCUUUUGGAGCCAGCCGCCUAAGGUGGGAUAGAUGAUUGGGG